RNAcentral lists this transfer RNA (76 nucleotides) under Nitrososphaerota archaeon. RNAcentral's name for it is "tRNA-Gln". It matches the Rfam family "tRNA". From Rfam's summary of the family: Transfer RNA (tRNA) molecules are approximately 80 nucleotides in length. RNAcentral also lists the same sequence under 1 other name. The record is from RNAcentral. Lineage: Archaea; Thermoproteati; Nitrososphaerota.
AGCCCGGUCGUCUAGCGGCCAAGGAUCCCAGGCUCUGGCCCUGGGGACGAGGGUUCGAAUCCUUCCCGGGCUACCA